GUUACUAAGCUGACAGCUUCUCUGCCCGCGGCUCGGCAAAGGCCCCCUAAAACCCACAGAACAAACACACAGUUCUUCCAUAGUUGCUCUCUGCUAAACCUCUGGCCGUUGCUUCAAACCCUAAAAAUGGAGGAAGAAGAAAAAGCUGGGCCUCCCAAUAAGGAUUUGUAUGCUCUGCUCCACAUUUCACCCGAAGCCUCCGACGAAGAAAUCCGAAAAGCUUACCGCCAAUGGGCUCAAGUCUAUCACCCUGAUAAAUAUCAAUCUCCUCAUAUGAAAGAUAUUGCUACAGAGAACUUUCAGCGAAUCUGCGAAGCAUACGAAAUCUUAACCGAUGAGAACAAAAGACAGAUAUAUGACAUCUAUGGCAUGGAAGGAUUGACUUCUGGUCUGGAACUAGGUCCAAAGUUGAAUAAAGCAGAUGAGAUAAAGGAAGAGCUUGAAAGGUUACGGAAAAGGAAGGAACAAGAGAAAAUUUCAGCACAUUUCAGGCCUUCUGGUACCAUACUGGCUAAUAUGUCUUUGCCACAUUUUUGGGAGGGCGAUGGCAUCAUGAGAGGAAUGGCCAUGACAAGUGAAGUUCAGUCUCAAAUUUCAAAAAGUAAUACCGUUGGAGUAGGAGGAAAUUUGGCAGUUACUGGGAAUGUCGGUGGUGGGGCUGCUUCUGCAUUGUUUCGUCAUCAAUUUUCUUCAGUUUCAUCUGUAGAAUUUAUGGCUUCAACUGGUUUAAGAUCACUUAUUGGGAUGCAAGCAUCUCGUCAUCUUACAUUGCACUCAACGGCAACAAUGGGUAUUUCGAUGUCAUUGAAAGAUGGAUCAUUGAACCUGUCCAAUUCUUGGACUCGCCAACUUUCUGAAACAGCGAAUGGAAAUAUACAACUUAUUUUAGGCCCGGAGUCUUCUGUUGCAGUUGGAUGGCAGAAGAAAGAAGAGAAAAGGUCUGUUGCAGGAGAGGUGAAGUUUAGCACAAGUUCUUUUGGGGCAUCUGCUCAUUAUACUCAUCGCUUCUCUUCAAAGUCUCAUGGCCGAAUUGCCGGGAGAGUAGGAAGCACCAUGCUUGAGCUUGAACUUGGUGGUGGGAGGAAAUUAUCGAAAUUCAGCACUGUUCGGAUGUUGUAUUCAAUUGGGAUUCAGGGCAUCUUUUGGAAAUUUGAGUUGCAUCGUGGAGGUCAAAAAUUGAUCAUUCCAAUUCUGAUUUCCAGGCAUUUGAACCCUGUGUUUGCAGCUGGAGCAUUCAUUUUCCCCACUUCGGCAUACUUUUUGCUCAAGAAAUUUUUGGUAAAACCUUAUUACCAGAGAAGGGAAAAACAAAAGGCUUUAGAGAACAUGCAAAAAACUUCUGCUCAGGUACAAGAAGCAAGAGCUGCAGCUGCCAAAGCUCAACAGCUACUGCAAAAUGUAGCCAAUAGGAAAAGAAACAGACAAUCUGAAAUUGGUGGACUUGUUAUUACUAAAGCAAUUUAUGGAAAUCAGAAGGAUUUGAAGAAAAAGGAUGAAUUAAACGAACCAAAUGAUGAGUCGUCUCUAAGCAUUAUAGAUGUCACUUUACCGCUAAACUUUUUGGUUAAUGAUUCUGGGCAGCUAAAGCUCCAUGAAGGAGUAAAGAAGUCCGGUAUCAUGGGCUUUUGCGAUCCAUGCCCUGGAGAACCAAAACAGUUGUAUGUUGAGUAUACCUAUGGUGGGAAGACAUAUGAGGUGGUUGUGGAUGAUUACGAGGAGCUGCUAAUACCAAGGCCAUUGCAGUGAAUCUAAUGCCAACACUAAGAAUUCGCAUCACUGGUUACCUCCAGCAAAUUUUCAUACUUCAUCUGCUUGAGCCUAAUUUUGGAUAAUUGGAGUGAGAAACAUCAACAUCGUCACAAUUGAGGAUUGGGAUAAAGCUUAUGAAUUAUAUGAUGGGCUCUUCAUAUCUUCAUUAUUCACAUUCUGCUGGGCUUUUUAACUGUAUUCUAUAGCCUUGUAAAUUGUAUUUUUGUCUUUUGCUUAGCCUUCUGAAAAGAUAAUGCUUCUUGGUUUCUUCAAGAAUAAUGUUGCAAAUGGUUUAAACA
Benincasa hispida (wax gourd) is the source of this 2048-nucleotide RNA transcript. It is a transcript of the gene named DNAJ heat shock N-terminal domain-containing protein, with no coding region annotated. The record is from RefSeq and is a predicted model, not a curated record. NCBI's taxonomy places the organism in Eukaryota, Viridiplantae, Streptophyta, Magnoliopsida, Cucurbitales, Cucurbitaceae.